Molecule: long non-coding RNA, 1704 nt
Organism: Crocodylus porosus (Australian saltwater crocodile)
Lineage: Eukaryota; Metazoa; Chordata; Crocodylia; Crocodylidae
Source: Ensembl
CUGGGCUGACUGUCAUGCGGCCAUCGAUGGCUUGCCAAAACUCAUUAAGAGGUCCUCUGCCCAAAACAAUUGCCCAUCCCUGUGCUACAUCCAUGAGAGGAUAAAGGGGACAGAGUUGAAGAGCCUUAUGCCAGGGCAGUGAGUAGAGGGUAGUGUUGUGCAGUGACAGGCGGUGUUACCCACAGAUCCCACCUUACCAGCUUUCAUGUCUUAUUCCUGAUCCUUGAUAGAAACUGGUGGAAGAACACAAUGACACCACGGCCCUCUUGGAAAAGCCUUUCCACCAGGACUUGGAGAAGCUGAGAAUGAGGCCAGAGCAGAAGAAGAAUGAGAAAGAAGGGAAACAACAAGAAAAAUACCCUUCUUCAUCUUCAUCCACCUCCUCACACACCCAAGAGAAACCUAGCCAAGCAUGUGACCAGGUUUUAGCGCUCUUUGCAGAGAGUAUCAAAAUACUGAAGCAGACUGAAAAGGUGAUGGCCUCAAGGAUUAUCCUUCUGAAUCCUCAGUUCCGGUGUGACAGGAAUAAGAGCAAAUGCCUAAAUACCUCUCCGCUCCUCACACUCUUGAGAGAUGUGAAUGACCGGCUCCAAACUCAUGCAAAGGCAGCAGGGCUGCUGGAAAGCCAGCAGGAGAAAGGCACAGGAAGUUCUUUCCGGGACAUAUCAGACGUUCUGAUGACUCAUAAAGGGGAACUUAAACCAGUUCAUCCUGAAGCCCUUUCUGCAAGAGAGUUUGUCAUAUACCAGUAUGGCAUCUCCAUCCUACAGUUUCUACAACUUCACAUCAAUGCUCCGGAAAUUAACCUCUGCAUUGCCACCAGCAUACCUCGCAGUAAUGCUGUGGGCAACGCUUUCCGAAACUCCUUCUUUUACCAGAAUUUCGAGAAGAAAUUAUUUGUUUUAAGAGAGUGUCUGGGCUCUGUGGGCAGCUUCCUCCUUCUGCUGGUGCAUUGUCUGGCUCACAUCGCUGCCGCGGACCUCAGCCAGGACUCCAGCCCAGCCUUUCUGAGAUUGUUUUAUCAGGCACUAAAGGCCUGUCUCAGUGAAACCUUCUCUCUCAGACUCCAGAUGUCAGCACUUCUGCAGGACAAUAAAUCCUCUGAGAGGAUAAGUGAGAUUCUGCUGAAGGGAGAACCACUCAUGGAAGGGAACAUAAAUCUUCUCUCUCAGCUUUUUGAUGCAAAAGUGGAAUCAUCCACAGAGACUGAGACCUCUGAGGAGUGUAAGAGGAACCUCUUGCUCCAUGCAAAUCUUGAGGACUUGCUGAAGAAUACACUGUCCGAAAAGAAAAAGGGAUGUUUCCUCCCCAUCUCAGCUGACUGCAAAGAAAAGAGCUCUUCUGGGAGGACAAGCUUGCGAGAGGAAAACUGUUCUUCCUUCAGUCCUGCGGAAAUGGAAGAGAAGCUGGAUGCAUUAACCGAAGAGCUGGUGAAAAUCAUGAAAGAGGAGCAUCGCUUUUUAAGCAGUGCUGCCAAUGAUGAUUUGCCUUUCGAUCAGCUAGAAAUAAUUGGUUUGGAGAAAGAGUGUCUGGUAAAGCAAAUAGAAAUGUUAGAGGGGAAAAUAGCAGAAGGCAGAGGGGGGUUAUGGUAACGUUAUCACAGCAAAUUAAAACCGCAGAGGAUAGUUUGGCAGUGUGAACCUAACGUGGCUCCGUGCACUCCCCUGCAGACCCUGCACUGAAUAAACAUCUCGUGUUGUUCCA